AGACUUUCCCUUUUCUAUCCUGUUCCAUUGAGGAGCUGAGGAGCUUCCCCUGGAGAAGGAAAACUGCAUGACCCUGAGGAGCUGGGACUAAACCAGCCCCAGCAGAAGAGCUGGGACUUGCAGGGGGUUUCUGUGUCCCACCACUGCUGCUCCUCCUUCAGGUCUUCCUCGUCCCACCAGGAGCAAGGUGCCCAUCAGCACAAUUGUGGGGAUCAAAAUCCAGCCUGGAGACUGCAAAAUGUAGGGAAGAGCAUUACAUUAGGGAAAAAAUAAAAGCCUGUCCAUAAGCAUCGGAUCAAUUGGUGCUCACAUGAAAAAGUGGAUCAAUAAUAUCAAUAGCCAUUACCAGAGGAGCAGCAUGAAUUCUGUUAUCAUAGAACUUUGGAAAAACGUUUUGUCUUUGGC
Passer montanus (Eurasian tree sparrow) is the source of this 405-nucleotide long non-coding RNA. RefSeq lists it as uncharacterized. Lineage: Eukaryota; Metazoa; Chordata; Aves; Passeriformes; Passeridae. The record is from RefSeq and is a predicted model, not a curated record. The transcript has 3 exons.